Melanotaenia boesemani (Boeseman's rainbowfish) is the source of this 2622-nucleotide RNA transcript. It is a transcript of the gene named calpain-2 catalytic subunit-like, with no coding region annotated. The transcript has 18 exons. The record is from RefSeq and is a predicted model, not a curated record. NCBI's taxonomy places the organism in Eukaryota, Metazoa, Chordata, Actinopteri, Atheriniformes, Melanotaeniidae.
ACACCUGAAACCUGAGCAGCUGCUCCCUAAUUUCCCAGAACUCACCGAACCACCAUGUCCGGCAUCGCUGCCACUCUGCAGCGCUACCGGGAUCAGAACCUGGGCAUCGGAACCAGCACUUGGGCCGUGAAGUACCUGAACCAGGACUACGAGGUUCUGAGGCAGAGCUGCUUCCAAACGGGUCAGCUGUUCCAGGACGACUCCUUUCCGGCCGGGUCCUCCUCUCUGGGCUAUAACGAACUGGGCCCGAACUCCUCCAAGGUCCGCGGGGUGUCCUGGAAGCGGCCCACGGAGCUGGUAUCUGAUCCAGAGUUCAUCUUGCUCGGAGCCAGCAGGACCGACAUUUGUCAGGGCGCUCUGGGUGACUGCUGGCUGCUCGCUGCCAUUGCUUGUCUGACCCUGAAUAAGGAGGUUCUGGCCCGAGUCGUCCCUCAUGGCCAGAGCUUCAGGACUGGAGAAUACGCCGGCAUCUUCCACUUCCAGUUCUGGCAGUUUGGGGAAUGGGUAGACGUGGUGAUUGACGACCUGCUGCCAGUUCGAGGAGAGGAGCUGCUAUUUGUCCACUCGGCUGAGGGGAGGGAGUUCUGGAGCGCCCUGCUAGAGAAGGCCUACGCCAAGUUGAAUGGCUGUUAUGAGGCUCUGUCUGGAGGAUCGACCACCGAGGGCUUUGAGGAUUUCACAGGAGGAAUUGCAGAGGUGCACGAGCUGAGCCGACCUGAUCCACACCUGUUCCAGGUUAUCCAGAAAGCGCUGGGCCGAGGCUCGCUGACAGGCUGCUCCAUCGAAAUAACAAGUUCAGUCGACUCUGAAGCCAUCACCUCCAAGAAACUGGUGAAAGGCCACGCGUACUCUGUGACAUGUGCAGCUGAGGUGGGUUACCAUGGUGACAGAGAGAAGCUGAUUCGAAUCAGGAACCCCUGGGGUCAGGUGGAGUGGACUGGAGCCUGGAGUGAUAACUCGAUUCAGUGGCGUUGGGUCAGUGAUGAGGACCGUCAGCGUCUGAGCCAUUGUUCAGAGGAUGGAGAGUUCUGGAUGUCUUUCUCAGACUUCCUGCAUCACUUCUCCCGGCUGGAGAUCUGCAACCUAACGCCCGAUGCGCUGAGUGACAAUGAUGUUUCCAAGUGGGCUUUGUCCAAGUUCGAAGGAAGCUGGCGGAGAGGAUCCACCGCAGGAGGCUGCAGGAACUAUCCCGACUCCUUCUGGACCAACCCGCAGUUUGUAAUCCGGCUGAACGAGGAGGACGAUGACCCGGAUGAUGGCGAGGCCGGCUGCAGCUUUGUGGUGGGUCUGAUCCAAAAGAACCGCAGAAGAAUGCGGAAGAUGGGCGAGGACAUGCUGACUAUUGGCUUUGCCAUCUACGAGGUUCCUGAUGAGUUCUCUGGUCAGAGGAACAUCCACCUGGACAGAAACUCCUUCCUGCGUCACGCUGCCGCCGCCAGCUCUGAAUCCUUCAUCAACCUCCGAGAAGUCUGCAGGCGCUUCUGUCUGCCGCCGGGAGAGUACCUGAUCAUCCCGUCCACCUUCCAGCCCAGCGAGAACGGAGACUUCUGCAUACGAGUGUUCUCCGAGAAGCAGGCCGACUUCCAGGAGGUGGAGAACCCCGUCGAGUCCCGUGUAGAGAAGAUUGAGAUUGAUGAGGACGGUGUGGACGACCACUUCAGAGGUCUGUUUGGACAGCUGGCGGGACAGGACUGGGAGAUCAGCGCCUUCGAGCUGCAGAAGAUUCUCAACAAAGUAGUGACCAAACGGUCGGACAUCCUGACUGACGGCUUCUGCAUCUCCACCUGUCGGAACAUGAUCAACCUGCUGGACAAAGACGGCAGUGGGAAACUGGGCCUGCUGGAGUUCCGAGUUCUGUGGACCAAGAUCGAGAACUACCUGGUGAGUGUUUCUAUGGAAACCUGCAGGAUCCAAAUGGUCUACUCAGGUAUGAGGGAUAUUCCAUGGAUCAGGAUUCAGGGAGUCUUGCUCAUUUCGAUGAGUCUGGUUCAUCAAAGUGAGAGUUCUGUUCCAUCAUCGUGGACCAGCUGAGCUUUGGGUCAUCAUUGUGCUUAAAUCAGUUUCCAGCACUAGAAGGUGUAAAAUCACCUGAACGCUCCUUCUUUGUGUUCAUGCCUCAAUGACUCAUUAAUGUUAGAGUAGCUACCGGUCUGUGCCGGACCAGGAUAGGUCCAGCUGGGUUACCGUGGUAACUAGCGCUGUUGAACCGGUCUGUGCCGGACCAGGAUAGGUCCAGCUGGGUUACCGUGGUAACCAGCUUUGUAGAACCGGUCUGUGCCGGACCAGGAUAGGUCCAGCUGGGUUACCGUGGUAACCAGCUUUGUAGAACCGGUCUGUGCCGGACCAGGAUAGGUCCAGCUGUGUUACCGUGGUAACCAGCGCUGUUGAACCGGUCUUUGCCGGACCAGGAUAGCGGUCUGGAACCAGUCUGGAUGGAACGUCUGAACUGGUUGGUGGAUUCAAGAGGAGAUGGAACUGGUUUCAGACUGUCUCAGGUGAGUCUCUGGAGUCGACCGGACUCUGGAUCAGCUGUGACCUGAUGAUGUUGUUGACCUGUUGAUGCUGUCGUGGUCCAGAACAUCUACCGGGCCAAGGACGUGGACAACACUGGGACGAUGAGCU